GCAUGAGACUUAGACAUCUGGGAACUCCAAGCCAGGUUUACUGGAAAGAGAGGGCUGAGGUCUCCACUUCUCAGCUGGUUGGACAGUGACCUAGUGAUCCAGGAAGGGGAGAAGAGGAAAAGGGCCACCAUCAAGGCCAUGGCCUUGUGCACUGGUACCCAGGCCUCCACUGGGUGGCUACCAAGGAUCACCCCUCACAAAGCCUCCCUGGGCCCACGGAAAGCUCUGUGUUCCUCAUUUUUGCAAGCCGCCCAGUGUUUUAAGUAUUCAGAUUUGAACGUUUGAUCCAUCUGGAUUUUAUUUUGGUGUUAAGCGUGAGCCAACUUCUACUUUUCCAAAUGGCCGGCCAGUCGUCCUAACGUCGUUUGAUUGAAAAAAGACUGAAAAACCUUUUCCGGGGUUUGAAGAGACCACUCCACCAGCACGCUUCAAGCUAGCGCGUUUGCCGGGGCCCGCGCGGUCCAAGGACCCCUCGCCGCCAGGUUUCCGCGGCCCAUCUGCCCGGCCAGAUCCAGUCGGAGGAGGCGAAGGGAAGGUGGUGGAGUGGAUAUUCCGCUGCUGAGAACUAUUCCACUCCUACCAGCCGCCGACCGACCACUAACCCCCUUUUCCCACCCUUGCGCUCAGGACAAACCCCAGACACCACUACCGCGACUUCACCUCCACCCUCCGAGGACAAAGCCCCCUGACCCACGUCGAGGAAGUCUCUCUUACCUCCCAUCUCCUCCCUCUCAGCUCCCCGCCCCCCCCAACCCUAGUCCCUCCUCCCGGGUGGUCCCAGGAACGGGAGGGGACUUUCUACUAGGGUAAUUUAAAUAAAAGGUGUGUGCUCUGGUUCUAUUUGCAUAGAGGCGGGGCCUCUAAAGCCGACCUCCACCUCGCUCCGAACGACCCAGGCGGAGAGAACCACCCGGAGACUUAACUUGCAGGGGGCGGGGCCUGCCUCUUUAAGUGGAGCCGGGUGCCACUUCCCGUUCCA
Molecule: long non-coding RNA, 979 nt
Organism: Bos taurus (domestic cattle)
Lineage: Eukaryota; Metazoa; Chordata; Mammalia; Artiodactyla; Bovidae
Source: Ensembl